RNAcentral lists this ribosomal RNA (490 nucleotides) under uncultured bacterium. RNAcentral's name for it is "partial 16S ribosomal RNA". It matches the Rfam family "Bacterial small subunit ribosomal RNA", at positions 30 to 507 of the family's 1533-position model. The record is from RNAcentral.
AUUGAACGCUGGCGGCAGGCUUAACACAUGCAAGUCGAGCGGUAGCACAGGGGAGCUUGCUCCCUGGGUGACGAGCGGCGGACGGGUGAGUAAUGUCUGGGAAACUGCCUGAUGGAGGGGGAUAACUACUGGAAACGGUAGCUAAUACCGCAUAACGUCGCAAGGCCAAAGAGGGGGACCUUCGGGCCUCUUGCCAUCAGAUGUGCCCAGAUGGGAUUAGCUAGUAGGUGGGGUAAUGGCUCACCUAGGCGACGAUCCGUAGCUGGUCUGAGAGGAUGACCAGCCACACUGGAACUGAGACACGGUCCAGACUCCUACGGGAGGCAGCAGUGGGGAAUAUUGGACAAUGGGCGCAAGCCUGAUGCAGCCAUGCCGCGUGUGUGAAGAAGGCCUUCGGGUUGUAAAGCACUUUCAGCGGGGAGGAAGGUGGUGAGCUUAAUACGUUCAUCAAUUGACGUUACUCGCAGAAGAAGCACCGGCUAACUACGUG